UGUACGAUCCAUCCGUCUCAAAAAAGUGCAAUAUUUUAAUUGCCCGUCUUAUUUAAAAUUAUUUUAUAAUUAAUAUUUUUUGUUAUUAGAUGAUAAAAUAUUAAUGGUUCUUUAUGGGUUGCUAUUAUUUUUUAAUUUUUUAAAAUAAAAUUUUUAAAUAAGACGAACCGUCAAAUGUUGGACACGAAAAUCUAUAAAUACAAUUACA
RNAcentral lists this microRNA precursor (208 nucleotides) under Oryza brachyantha (malo sina). Its description in RNAcentral is "MIR812 microRNA precursor family". The stretch from base 26 to 208 matches the Rfam family "MIR812 microRNA precursor family", at positions 26 to 205 of the family's 205-position model. The record is from Rfam by way of RNAcentral. Lineage: Eukaryota; Viridiplantae; Streptophyta; Magnoliopsida; Poales; Poaceae.